Molecule: non-coding RNA, 126 nt
Organism: Triticum aestivum (bread wheat)
Lineage: Eukaryota; Viridiplantae; Streptophyta; Magnoliopsida; Poales; Poaceae
Source: Rfam
AACAUACUCUCUCUGUCCGAAAAAACUUGUCACUCAAAUGGAUGUAUCUAACACCAAAUUAGUACUAGAUACAUCCAUUUGAGGAACAAGUUUGGGAUAAGUUUUUUUGGAUGAAGGGAGUACGUA